Molecule: long non-coding RNA, 310 nt
Filed under: Cicer arietinum (chickpea)
Lineage: Eukaryota; Viridiplantae; Streptophyta; Magnoliopsida; Fabales; Fabaceae
Description: long non-coding RNA (CARI_LNC001143)
Source: RNAcentral
GCACAGAAAUCGGUAAUUUCACUUGCAGUCCCUCUGUCUUUUAAUAGUCAACUCAUAACAUGGUAUUAGAGCCUUUAUGAUCAGUCUACAGUUUAAUACUUGUUGCGUUCAUUCUUCUAUAUAAAUGUUAAAUUUAAAAAUUAGUUAGACCGUGUAUGUGGGCCCAUGCAUGGCAGAAUUAGUUGGACAGCAUAUGUGUUUCCACCAUGUCUCAAACCCAAAGAACUCUUCUGAGAGAGGGCAUGUUUAAAUCUACAAUCAUUUUUGUUUUCAUCCAACAGUUUAAACCUUUCAGGAUAGUGGGUUCAAG